RNAcentral lists this long non-coding RNA (250 nucleotides) under Homo sapiens (human). RNAcentral's name for it is "HSALNT0373396". The record is from RNAcentral. Lineage: Eukaryota; Metazoa; Chordata; Mammalia; Primates; Hominidae.
CUUUGUGGCUCUUCUCUUUCUAUUCAUCUCAUGAACUACUGGACAUGUUUACAUUUGGGGAACUUAAAAAUAAAAAUGAACCAGAUAGCUGUUGGCUGUUGUCUUUUUGUGAAGAAUAAUUUUAGGGAUCAAAAGACAAAAAGAAAAACAUUCUUUGUAUCAGAGAAUAGCAUUAUGAUCUCCACACAUAGUGCCAGCUCUUUUAACUUUGAAGGUCAAAUUUCCUAGUUUUCCAAAUGUCCACUGAUUC